This 1352-nucleotide ribosomal RNA is filed under the name uncultured bacterium. RNAcentral describes it as "bacterial SSU rRNA". It matches the Rfam family "Bacterial small subunit ribosomal RNA", at positions 28 to 1381 of the family's 1533-position model. The record is from RNAcentral.
AUUGAACGCUGGCGGCAUGCCUUACACAUGCAAGUCGAACGGUAACGGGUCCUUCGGGAUGCCGACGAGUGGCGAACGGGUGAGUAAUAUAUCGGAACGUGCCCAGUAGUGGGGGAUAACUGCUCGAAAGAGCAGCUAAUACCGCAUACGACCUGAGGGUGAAAGGGGGGGAUCGCAAGACCUCUCGCUAUUGGAGCGGCCGAUAUCAGAUUAGCUAGUUGGUGGGGUAAAGGCCUACCAAGGCAACGAUCUGUAGUUGGUCUGAGAGGACGACCAGCCACACUGGGACUGAGACACGGCCCAGACUCCUACGGGAGGCAGCAGUGGGGAAUUUUGGACAAUGGGCGCAAGCCUGAUCCAGCAAUGCCGCGUGCAGGAAGAAGGCCUUCGGGUUGUAAACUGCUUUUGUCAGGGAAGAAAUCUUCUGGGCUAAUACCCCGGGAGGAUGACGGUACCUGAAGAAUAAGCACCGGCUAACUACGUGCCAGCAGCCGCGGUAAUACGUAGGGUGCGAGCGUUAAUCGGAAUUACUGGGCGUAAAGCGUGCGCAGGCGGCUUUGCAAGACAGAUGUGAAAUCCCCGGGCUCAACCUGGGAACUGCAUUUGUGACUGCAAGGCUAGAGUACGGCAGAGGGGGAUGGAAUUCCGCGCGUAGCAGUGAAAUGCGUAGAUAUGCGGAGGAACACCAAUGGCGAAGGCAAUCCCCUGGGCCUGUACUGACGCUCAUGCACGAAAGCGUGGGGAGCAAACAGGACUAGAUACCCUGGUAGUCCACGCCCUAAACGAUGUCAACUGGUUGUUGGACGGCUUGCUGUUCAGUAACGAAGCUAACGCGUGAAGUUGACCGCCUGGGGAGUACGGCCGCAUGGUUGAAACUCAAAGGAAUUGACGGGGACCCGCACAAGCGGUGGAUGAUGUGGUCUAAUUCGAUGCAACGCGAAAAACCUUACCUACCCUUGACAUGUCAAGAAUUCUGCAGAGAUGUGGAAGUGCUCGAAAGAGAACUUGAACACAGGUGCUGCAUGGCCGUCGUCAGCUCGUGUCGUGAGAUGUUGGGUUAAGUCCCGCAACGAGCGCAACCCUUGUCAUUAGUUGCUACGCAAGAGCACUCUAAUGAGACUGCCGGUGACAAACCGGAGGAAGGUGGGGAUGACGUCAGGUCCUCAUGGCCCUUAUGGGUAGGGCUACACGCGUCAUACAAUGGCCGGUACAGAGGGCUGCCAACCCGCGAGGGGGAGCCAAUCCCAGAAAACCGGUCGUAGUCCGGAUCGUAGUCUGCAACUCGACUGCGUGAAGUCGGAAUCGCUAGUAAUCGCGGAUCAGCUUGCCGCGGUGAAUACGUUCCCGGGUCU